CCUACGGGGAGCAGCAGUGGGGGAUAUUGCACAAUGGAGGGAACUCUGAUGCAGCGACGCCGCGUGAGGGAAUAAGGCCCUACGGGUCGUAAACCUCUUUUGCCGGGGAGCAAGGGCGGGGACGUGUCCCGGCCCGGAGAGUACCCGGAGAAAAAGCAUCGGCUAACUCCGUGCCAGCAGCCGCGGUAAUACGGAGGAUGCGAGCGUUAUCCGGAUUUAAUGGGUUUAAAGGGUGCGUAGGCGGGCUUUUAAGUCAGCGGUAAAAAUUCGGGGCUCAACCCCGUCCGGCCGUUGAAACUGGGGGCCUUGAGUGGGCGAGAAGAAGGCGGAAUGCGUGGUGUAGCGGUGAAAUGCAUAGAUAUCACGCAGAACCCCGAUUGCGAAGGCAGCCUUCCGGCCCCCUACUGACGCUGAGGCACGAAAGUGCGGGGAUCGAACAGGAUUAGAUACCCUUGUAGUC
RNAcentral lists this ribosomal RNA (460 nucleotides) under uncultured bacterium. Its description in RNAcentral is "partial 16S ribosomal RNA". It matches the Rfam family "Bacterial small subunit ribosomal RNA", at positions 338 to 795 of the family's 1533-position model. The record is from RNAcentral.